Molecule: unclassified non-coding RNA, 505 nt
Filed under: Homo sapiens (human)
Lineage: Eukaryota; Metazoa; Chordata; Mammalia; Primates; Hominidae
Description: VPS52 subunit of GARP complex (multiple genes)
Source: RNAcentral
CCCACUCCCUCCCAUCCCCCUCCAACAUUCCUUGCUGGCUGACCUCUGAUUCUGAUUAAGCCCACAGGUACUGGGAACAGGUGCUUGCCUUGCUAUGGCCACGGUUUGAACUGAUCCUGGAGAUGAAUGUUCAGAGCGUCCGAAGCACUGACCCCCAGCGCCUAGGGGGGUUGGAUACUCGGCCCCACUAUAUCACACGCCGCUAUGCAGAGUUCUCCUCCGCUCUUGUCAGUAUCAACCAGACAAUUCCUAAUGAACGGACCAUGCAAUUGCUGGGACAGCUGCAGGUGGAGGUGGAGAAUUUUGUCCUCCGAGUGGCAGCUGAGUUCUCCUCAAGGAAGGAGCAGCUUGUGUUUCUGAUCAACAACUAUGACAUGAUGCUGGGAGCGGGCUGCAGAUGACAGCAAAGAGGUUGAGAGCUUCCAGCAGCUGCUCAAUGCUCGGACACAGGAAUUCAUUGAAGAGUUGCUGUCUCCCCCUUUUGGGGGUUUAGUGGCAUUUGUGA